RNAcentral lists this long non-coding RNA (246 nucleotides) under Ursus americanus (American black bear). RNAcentral's name for it is "lncRNA (ENSUAMG00000000369.1)". The record is from RNAcentral. Lineage: Eukaryota; Metazoa; Chordata; Mammalia; Carnivora; Ursidae.
GACGUUGUGUUUUUCACUCCCUGCUUAAGGAUGUAAAUGAAGACCCUGGAGAAGAUGUGGCCCUCCUUUCUGUCAGUUUUGAGGACACGGAAGCCACUCAGGUGUAUCCCAAGCUGUACUUGUCACCCCGAAUUGAACAAGGCGUCGUGGAGUAUGAUGCAGAAGGCUUUACAAAACUCACUCUGCUGCUGAUGUGGAAAGAUUUCUGUUUUCUUGUGCACAGUGAGUAUACUUGUGCUGUGAGCC